CUACGGGGUGCUCCAGUGGGGAAUAUUGCACAAUGGAGGAAACUCUGAUGCAGCAACGCCGCGUGGAGGAUGACACUUUUCGGUGUGUAAACUCCUUUUAUAUGUCAAGAAAAUGACGGUAGCAUAUGAAUAAGCACCGGCUAACUCCGUGCCAGCAGCCGCGGUAAUACGGAGUGUGCAAGCGUUACUCGGAAUCACUGGGCGUAAAGGACGCGUAGGCGGGUUGGAAAGUCAGGUGUGAAAUCCUACAGCUUAACUGUAGAACUGCACUUGAAACUUCUAAUCUAGAGUAUGGGAGGGGGAGAUGGAAUUAGUGGUGUAGGGGUAAAAUCCGUAGAUAUCACUAGGAAUACCUAAAGCGAAGGCGAUCUCCUGGAACAUUACUGACGCUAAGGCGUGAAAGCGUGGGGAGCAAACAGGAUUAGAUACCCUCGUAGUC
This 439-nucleotide ribosomal RNA is filed under the name uncultured bacterium. RNAcentral describes it as "partial 16S ribosomal RNA". It matches the Rfam family "Bacterial small subunit ribosomal RNA", at positions 339 to 795 of the family's 1533-position model. The record is from RNAcentral.